RNAcentral lists this ribosomal RNA (253 nucleotides) under uncultured bacterium. RNAcentral describes it as "partial 16S ribosomal RNA". It matches the Rfam family "Bacterial small subunit ribosomal RNA", at positions 524 to 776 of the family's 1533-position model. The record is from RNAcentral.
GACGUAGGGCGCGAGCGUUGUCCGGAUUUAUUGGGCGUAAAGAGCUCGUAGGCGGCUUGUCGCGUCGUCCGUGAAAACUUGGGGCUCAACCCCAAGCUUGCGGUCGAUACGGGCAGGCUAGAGUUCGGUAGGGGAGACUGGAAUUCCUGGUGUAGCGGUGAAAUGCGCAGAUAUCAGGAGGAACACCAGUGGCGAAGGCGGCUCGCUGGACCGGUUCUGACGCUGAGGCGCGAAAGCGUGGGGAGCAAACGGG